Molecule: ribosomal RNA, 422 nt
Filed under: uncultured bacterium
Lineage: Bacteria
Description: bacterial SSU rRNA
Rfam family: Bacterial small subunit ribosomal RNA
Source: RNAcentral
CGGCGAGUGGCGGACGGGUGAGUAAUGCCUGGGGAGCUGCCCAAUCGAGGGGGACUCCCGUUGGAAACGACUGCUAAUACCGCAUAAGCCCUGAGGGGGAAAGGUGGGGAUUUUUGGACCUACCGCGAUUGGAUGCACCCAGGUGGGAUUAGCUAGUUGGUGAGGUAACGGCUCACCAAGGCGACGAUCUCUAGCUGGUUUGAGAGGAUGACCCGCCCCCCUGGAAAUGAGACACGGUCCCGACUCCUUCGGGAGGCAGCCGUGGGGAAUAUUGCCCAAUGGGGGAAACCCUGAUGCAGCCCUGCCGCGUGUGUGAAGAAGGCCUUCGGGUUGUAAAGCACUUUCAGCGAGGAGGAAAGGUUGGCAGCUAAUACCUGUCAGCUGUGACGUUACUAGGGGAAGAAGCCCCGGCUAACUCCGUG